AUGUUAUGGUGCGGACACGACCGCUGCAAAGCCUUGAAUCUAUCCCAGGCUUCUCGAAGUGACUCUCCAGGUUCUUGCGUGAAUGUAGUCAACUUGUGUCUUAUUUC
Molecule: non-coding RNA, 107 nt
Organism: Spinacia oleracea (spinach)
Lineage: Eukaryota; Viridiplantae; Streptophyta; Magnoliopsida; Caryophyllales; Amaranthaceae
Source: Rfam